Molecule: ribosomal RNA, 274 nt
Filed under: uncultured bacterium
Lineage: Bacteria
Description: partial 16S ribosomal RNA
Rfam family: Bacterial small subunit ribosomal RNA
Source: RNAcentral
ACACGGAGGGCGCAAGCGUUGCUCGGAAUCACUGGGCGUAAAGCGGGUGUAGGCGGUCUAGCAAGUCAGAUGUGAAAGCCCACGGCUCAACCGUGGAAGUGCGUCUGAAACUGCUAGACUUGAGUGCCGGAGAGGGAAGUGGAAUUCCUGGUGUAGGGGUGAAAUCCGUAGAUAUCAGGAGGAACACCGGUGGCGAAGGCGACUUCCUGGACGGCCACUGACGCUGAGACCCGAAAGCGUGGGGAGCAAACAGGAUUAGAAACCCUUGUAGUCC